Molecule: ribosomal RNA, 253 nt
Filed under: uncultured bacterium
Lineage: Bacteria
Description: partial 16S ribosomal RNA
Rfam family: Bacterial small subunit ribosomal RNA
Source: RNAcentral
CACGGGGGGAGCAAGCGUUGUUCGGAAUCACUGGGCGUAAAGGGCGUGUAGGCGGUCUGGUAAGUGGGAUGUGAAAGCCCCCGGCUCACCCGGGGAUCUGCAUUCCAAACUGCCAGACUUGAGUAUGGGAGAGGACAGGGGAAUUCCUGGUGUAGCGGUGAAAUGCGUAGAUAUCAGGAGGAACACCGGUGGCGAAAGCGCCUGUCUGGCCCAAUACUGACGCUGAGGAGCGAAAGCGUGGGGAGCAAACAGG